CAGAAGUACCCUUUGGACGGUUGUUACUGCAGAUGGCUGACAUAGCCCGCUAGCAUCAACUCAAGUUUCUCUUUCUUUAUUUGAACGCUCCCAGUCACAUUGAAAGUGUCCAUCUCAAAGCUCCAAAAUGACACCAUCCGAGACUUCCCGCUGGAUAUCUCACCGACGAGGGAGGGCAGCAAUACCCUUGCAGCCAAAAGGACGCAGAGGAAUGCUUCUCCAGACCACACACACCUCUCCCCCCUCAACACACAGCACACUGCCUCUGUCUUCACACAGUCAUUACAAAAGACCAUCAACUAAAAGAUAACCUACACAUGAUAAACAGACCCCAUCCAAGCUGAAAUUGUAAUUUGCUGUCAACGUGAUUGGCUUGUUAAAAUUGAUGGCAAUGGCAUUAUUUUAUCCGUUAAUGGGAUUAUCAUGAAAAGACAGCCAGCUAGAGCAAGCAAUCGAAUAAAUGUCUCCUUCUGUCUGUGAAAAACAAAGACAGUUGAGGCUUUUAAAUCCCCCAAAAUUGAACUCUGGUGGUGCCCCUGGUUGCUUGUGGCAAUUCAAGCCUUUUUAGUGCUGAUAAAACAAGACACUUUCCCCAAUAGCCUAAAUCCUCCUUCAAAUCCUUCUCUUGUGUUACCUAAUUAUACUCUGUAAUAAUCAGUGGAGCUUCUGUGCAGAUCUGGAUAACCAUUCAGCCAAAUGCCACUUUGUAAAUAGAUAGUCUGAGGGAGGAUAAUAACUGCUGACAUUAUUACACAAGCAUGAAACCUUCUUUUAUCUUAAGCUAUUUUUUUAUCCUCGGGGAUUGACAUUCGAUGCCACAAAUACAACAGGCACUAACGCUGCAAGUAAGCAAUGUGACAAGGUGAAAUCGGAUAAUGUAAUCAGCGGGUUUUUUUUUUUUUUAUUACGUAAAGGAAUAUUAAAUAACCAGCAGUACAAAGGGAAAGUGCAGCCUCUCUACCUGUAACCUGUUUAGUGAGUAACAGAAGACGACACCUACCCGAUGGAUUAAUGUCGAGUCCGUCCGUACGGAGAAGUUGGAUCAAUGCUGGGGUUGUUUCUCCAGCUGAUGCUCCGGCUACAUGCAGCCCUGCGGCGGAUACAAACUCUGCGGCGUCUCGGCAGUCGGAGGAGUUUGUUUUCUGGGUCAAUUCAGGGAUUAUAUGCAUCUAUAAAGCACAGGGAGAGAGGGAGGGAGGGAGGGAGGGAGAGAGAGAGA
Molecule: long non-coding RNA, 1219 nt
Organism: Sander lucioperca (pikeperch)
Lineage: Eukaryota; Metazoa; Chordata; Actinopteri; Perciformes; Percidae
Exons: 2
Source: RefSeq, a predicted model, not a curated record